GGAAGGGCUGUGGCUCAGAGGCAGCACAUCUGUUCGGCAUGCAGAAGGCCCCGGGUUCAAUCCCCGGCACCUCCA
This 75-nucleotide transfer RNA is filed under the name Sphaerodactylus townsendi. Its description in RNAcentral is "tRNA-Ala". It matches the Rfam family "tRNA". From Rfam's summary of the family: Transfer RNA (tRNA) molecules are approximately 80 nucleotides in length. Their secondary structure includes four short double-helical elements and three loops (D, anti-codon, and T loops). The record is from RNAcentral. Lineage: Eukaryota; Metazoa; Chordata; Lepidosauria; Squamata; Sphaerodactylidae.